RNAcentral lists this ribosomal RNA (492 nucleotides) under uncultured bacterium. RNAcentral's name for it is "partial 16S ribosomal RNA". It matches the Rfam family "Bacterial small subunit ribosomal RNA", at positions 29 to 507 of the family's 1533-position model. The record is from RNAcentral.
AGUGAACGCUGGCGGUAGGCCUAACACAUGCAAGUCGAACGGCAGCACAGUAAGAGCUUGCUCUUACGGGUGGCGAGUGGCGGACGGGUGAGGAAUACAUCGGAAUCUACUUUUUCGGGGGGGAUAACGUAGGGAAACUUACGCUAAUACCGCAUACGACCUACGGGUGAAAGCAGGGGAUCUUCGGACCUUGCGCGAUUGAAUGAGCCGAUGUCGGAUUAGCUAGUUGGCGGGGUAAAGGCCCACCAAGGCGACGAUCCGUAGCUGGUCUGAGAGGAUGCUCAGCCACACUGGAACUGAGACACGGUCCAGACUCCUACGGGAGGCAGCAGUGGGGAAUAUUGGACAAUGGGCGCAAGCCUGAUCCAGCCAUACCGCGUGGGUGAAGAAGGCCUUCGGGUUGUAAAGCCCUUUUGUUGGGAAAGAAAAGCAGCAGGUUAAUACCCCGCUGUUCUGACGGUACCCAAAGAAUAAGCACCGGCUAACUUCGUG